Molecule: ribosomal RNA, 469 nt
Filed under: uncultured bacterium
Lineage: Bacteria
Description: partial 16S ribosomal RNA
Rfam family: Bacterial small subunit ribosomal RNA
Source: RNAcentral
GACGAACGCUGGCGGCGUGCUUAACACAUGCAAGUCGAACGGAAAGGCCCUGCUUGCAGGGUGCUCGAGUGGCGAACGGGUGAGUAACACGUGGGUGAUCUGCCCCUUACUUUGGGAUAAGCCUGGGAAACUGGGUCUAAUACUGGAUAGGACCAUGCUGUAGGUGGUGUGGUGGAAAGAUUAGUUUCGGUAAGGGAUGAGCUCGCGGCCUAUCAGCUUGUUGGUGGGGUAAUGGCCUACCAAGGCGUCGACGGGUAGCCGGCCUGAGAGGGUGGACGGCCGCAUUGGGACUGAGAUACGGCCCAGACUCCUACGGGAGGCAGCAGUGGGGAAUAGUGCACAAUGGGCGCAAGCCUGAUGCAGCGACGCCGCGUGGGGGAUGACGGCCUUCGGGUUGUAAACGCCGUGCAGCCAUGACGAAGCCCUUGUGGUGACGGUAGUGGUAGAAGAAGCACCGGCUAACUACGUG